GGUUUCCCGGAGCUGCUCCGAGGCUGUUCCGGGGCUGUUCCAGGUUUCCAGGGCUAUUCCAGGGCUAUUCCAGGUUUCCAGGGCUGUUCCAGCUUUCCCGGAGCCGUUCGGGGCCGUUCCGCGGCUCCGCCGCUGCUCUAAGCCGGGAGAGGCGGAGCCGGCGGCUCUAAUUAAGCGCUGCUUUAAUUAAACAGGGAGGCGGAGAGGGCGGGGGAGCUGUGGGGGGAAGGAUCCGCUCUUUUUUUUCCGG
Oenanthe melanoleuca is the source of this 250-nucleotide long non-coding RNA. RefSeq lists it as uncharacterized. The record is from RefSeq and is a predicted model, not a curated record. Lineage: Eukaryota; Metazoa; Chordata; Aves; Passeriformes; Muscicapidae. The transcript is spliced from 2 exons.